UACGUAGGGUGCGAGCGCUAAUCGGAAUUACUGGGCGUAAAGCGUGCGCAGGCGGUUUUGUAAGCCAGAUGUGAAAUCCCCGGGCUCAACCUGGGAAUGGCAUUUGGGACUGCAAGGCUUGAGUGCGGCAGAGGAGACUGGAAUUCCUGGUGUAGCAGUGAAAUGCGUAGAUAUCGAGAGGAACACCUGCGGCGAAGGCGGGUUGCUGGGCCGACACUGACGCUGAUGCGCGAAAGCCAGGGGAGCGAACGGG
RNAcentral lists this ribosomal RNA (253 nucleotides) under uncultured bacterium. RNAcentral describes it as "partial 16S ribosomal RNA". It matches the Rfam family "Bacterial small subunit ribosomal RNA", at positions 524 to 776 of the family's 1533-position model. The record is from RNAcentral.